UACUUAGGGUGCGAGCGUUGUCCGGAAUUAUUGGGCGUAAAGGGCUCGUAGGCGGUCUGUCACGUCGGGAGUGAAAACUCAGGGCUUAACCCUGAGCCUGCUUCCGAUACGGGCAGACUAGAGGUAUGCAGGGGAGAACGGAAUUCCUGGUGUAGCGGUGAAAUGCGCAGAUAUCAGGAGGAACACCGGUGGCGAAGGCGGUUCUCUGGGCAUUACCUGACGCUGAGGAGCGAAAGUGUGGGGAGCGAACAGG
This 253-nucleotide ribosomal RNA is filed under the name uncultured bacterium. RNAcentral describes it as "partial 16S ribosomal RNA". It matches the Rfam family "Bacterial small subunit ribosomal RNA", at positions 524 to 776 of the family's 1533-position model. The record is from RNAcentral.